This 427-nucleotide ribosomal RNA is filed under the name uncultured bacterium. RNAcentral's name for it is "bacterial SSU rRNA". It matches the Rfam family "Bacterial small subunit ribosomal RNA", at positions 355 to 774 of the family's 1533-position model. The record is from RNAcentral.
UGGGGAAUUUUGGACAAUGGGGGCAACCCUGAUCCAGCCAUCCCGCGUGUGCGAUGAAGGCCUUCGGGUUGUAAAGCACUUUUGGCAGGGAAGAAACAGCCUGGGCUAAUAUCCCGGGCGACUGACGGUACCUGCAGAAUAAGCACUGGCUAACUACGUGCCAGCAGCCGCGGUAAUACGUAGGGUGCAAGCGUUAAUCGGAAUUACUGGGCGUAAAGCGUGCGCAGGCGGUUCGGAAAGAAAGGUGUGAAAUCCCAGGGCUUAACCUUGGAACUGCACUUUUAACUACCGGGCUAGAGUACGUCAGAGGGGGGUAGAAUUCCACGUGUAGCAGUGAAAUGCGUAGAGAUGUGGAGGAAUACCGAUGGCGAAGGCAGCCCCCUGGGAUGAUACUGACGCUCAUGCACGAAAGCGUGGGGAGCAAACA